RNAcentral lists this ribosomal RNA (464 nucleotides) under uncultured bacterium. Its description in RNAcentral is "partial 16S ribosomal RNA". It matches the Rfam family "Bacterial small subunit ribosomal RNA", at positions 29 to 507 of the family's 1533-position model. The record is from RNAcentral.
ACGAACGCUGGCGGCGUGCUUAACACAUGCAAGUCGAACGGAAAGACCCCUUUGGGGGUACUCGAGUGGCGAACGGGUGAGUAACACGUGAGUAACCUGCCCUUGACUUCGGGAUAACUUCAGGAAACUGGGGCUAAUACCGGAUAGGAAUCCUUGCUGCAUGGUGGGGGUUGGAAAGCUUCGGCGGUUUUGGAUGGACUCGCGGCUUAUCAGCUUGUUGGUGGGGUAGUGGCUUACCAAGGCUUUGACGGGUAGCCGGCCUGAGAGGGCGACCGGCCACAUUGGGACUGAGAUACGGCCCAGACUCCUACGGGAGGCAGCAGUGGGGAAUAUUGCACAAUGGGCGGAAGCCUGAUGCAGCAACGCCGCGUGCGGGAUGACGGCCUUCGGGUUGUAAACCGCUUUCAGCAGGGGCGAAGCUUGUGGUGACGGUACCUGCAGAAGAAGCACCGGCUAACUACGUG